Electrophorus electricus (electric eel) is the source of this 268-nucleotide non-coding RNA. The record is from RefSeq and is a predicted model, not a curated record. Lineage: Eukaryota; Metazoa; Chordata; Actinopteri; Gymnotiformes; Gymnotidae.
CUGUAUCACAUCUCCCCUGGACCCACAUAGCAGUGGACUUCAUCACAGACCUGCCUGCUUCGCAAGGGUACAAUGUCAUAAUGAACGUAUCAGCUCUGAAGUACAGCAUUCUUGUAAUGAGGAGGUUGGUGAAGAGCUUCUCUCAGCAAAUUCUGUCAAUGAAGAAAAGACAGUAUUAUGAUGCCAUCACCUGUAGUGGUCUGAUAUGUAAGUUUGUUUAAUUCAUCACUUCACUAAAAUUAAAGAGAUGAUGACUUAAACUAGCUCA